UGAGGAAUAUUGGUCAAUGGACGCAAGUCUGAACCAGCCAAGUAGCGUGCAGGAUGACGGCCCUAUGGGUUGUAAACUGCUUUUAUGUGGGAAUAAAGUGGCGCACGUGUGCGCCAUUGCAUGUACCUCAUGAAUAAGGACCGGCUAAUUCCGUGCCAGCAGCCGCGGUAAUACGGAAGGUCCGGGCGUUAUCCGGAUUUAUUGGGUUUAAAGGGAGUGUAGGCGGUCUGUUAAGCGUGUUGUGAAAUUUAGGUGCUCAACAUUUAACUUGCAGCGCGAACUGUCAGACUUGAGUACACGCAGCGCAGGCGGAAUUCAUGGUGUAGCGGUGAAAUGCUUAGAUAUCAUGAGGAACUCCGAUCGCGAAGGCAGCCUGCGGGAGUGUUACUGACGCUUAAGCUCGAAGGUGCGGGUAUCGAACA
This 422-nucleotide ribosomal RNA is filed under the name uncultured Prevotella sp. Its description in RNAcentral is "bacterial SSU rRNA". It matches the Rfam family "Bacterial small subunit ribosomal RNA", at positions 355 to 774 of the family's 1533-position model. Lineage: Bacteria; Pseudomonadati; Bacteroidota; Bacteroidia; Bacteroidales; Prevotellaceae. The record is from RNAcentral.